GCGUGGGUGAAGAAGGUCUUCGGAUCGUAAAGCCCUUUCGACGGGGACGAUGAUGACGGUACCCGUAGAAGAAGCCCCGGCUAACUUCGUGCCAGCAGCCGCGGUAAUACGAAGGGGGCUAGCGUUGCUCGGAAUUACUGGGCGUAAAGGGCGCGUAGGCGGCUCUGUUAGUCAGGCGUGAAAUUCCCGGGCUUAACCUGGGGACUGCGCUUGAUACUGCGGAGCUUGAGGGUGGAAGAGGGUCGUGGAAUUCCCAGUGUAGAGGUGAAAUUCGU
This 275-nucleotide ribosomal RNA is filed under the name uncultured bacterium. Its description in RNAcentral is "partial 16S ribosomal RNA". It matches the Rfam family "Bacterial small subunit ribosomal RNA", at positions 399 to 691 of the family's 1533-position model. The record is from RNAcentral.